CACUGACCAUCAUCGCUGCCUGCUGACCGGGAGAGAGGUUCGUCCCCCCCAGGGACAAACCCCUCUGAUCAGGGGCGCUGAGCUUGACAAAUGGGUGUUUCCCCAUAUUGGGCGCCAUGGAGUCUCCGAAGGAAGACAGAGUAUAUCUCACCGCGGUGGAAGAGGACAAUGGAAAAGUAAUCUGCGCAGUUCAAAGACGUGUUUCUAUCUUUAUGACUUGGCACCGGGAGCAGAGGCUCAGAUAAAUGGUUUCCAGCUUCUGCUUCAAAGCCUCCGGUGCAAGGGACUAAUGUGUUUUCUGAAGCUUACAAGAUACGAACGGCCCGGGUCACUUUACUGCUGAAAGGGCAGCAACAUUCCUUGAUACUAUUCAAGAAAGUGCAAGAGGCUGUGAGGCCAGAGUGACAUUUCUGUUCAUUUCUGGAACAGAUCUCUCAGAUGUCCAUACCGCAAUGAGAGAGGUGGCAUAGUGCGUGGACCCUACAUUGUCUCCUGUCUCCUAACUAUUUCCUUCUGGGAGCUGGCCACAGGAAUACACUUGUAAUAUAAGCUUAAGGCUUUAAAAGCAUCCUGAAGGGAAUCGGCUCUUUAU
Molecule: long non-coding RNA, 592 nt
Filed under: Lepisosteus oculatus (spotted gar)
Lineage: Eukaryota; Metazoa; Chordata; Actinopteri; Semionotiformes; Lepisosteidae
Description: lncRNA (ENSLOCG00000023213.1)
Source: RNAcentral